RNAcentral lists this unclassified non-coding RNA (241 nucleotides) under plant metagenome. RNAcentral's name for it is "partial contains small subunit ribosomal RNA and internal transcribed spacer 1". The stretch from base 1 to 46 matches the Rfam family "Eukaryotic small subunit ribosomal RNA", at positions 1786 to 1831 of the family's 1831-position model. The record is from RNAcentral.
AAGUCGUAACAAGGUUUCCGUAGGUGAACCUGCGGAAGGAUCAUUAAAAAUGUAACCGGACCGGUACGUCGGAGGUGAGAGCCCACGGCGGAUUGGGAAGGGGAUAUCAUACACCCUGUGUUUAUUUUACCUUUGUUGCUUUGGCGGGCCGUCCGUAAGGCGUCGGCCCCGGCUGACCGCGCCCGCCAGAGGACCCAAACUCUUUUAUCAGUGAUGUCUGAGUACUAUAUAAUAGUUAAAA